Molecule: unclassified non-coding RNA, 498 nt
Filed under: uncultured Glomus
Lineage: Eukaryota; Fungi; Glomeromycota; Glomeromycetes; Glomerales; Glomeraceae
Description: SSU rRNA
Rfam family: Eukaryotic small subunit ribosomal RNA
Source: RNAcentral
CCAAUAGCGUAUAUUAAAGUUGUUGCAGUUAAAAAGCUCGUAGUUGAAUUUCGGGAUCAGUACGCUGGUCGUGCCUUCGGUAUGUACUGGUGUUACUGGUUCCUACCUUCUGACGAACCGUCAUGUCAUUAAUUUGGUGUGGCGGGAAAUCAGGACUGUUACUUUGAAAAAAUUCGAGUGUUUAAAGCAGGCUCGCGCUUGAAUACAUUAGCAUGAAAUAAUGAAAUAGGACGUUCGAUCCUAUUUUGUUUGUUUCUAGGAUUGACGUAAUGAUUAAUAGGGAUAGUUGGGGGCAUUAGUAUUCAAUUGUCAGAGGUGAAAUUCUUGGAUUUAUUGAAGACUAACUACUGCGAAAGCAUUUGCCAAGGAUGUUUUCAUUAAUCAAGAACGAAAGUUAGGGGAUCGAAGACGAUCAGAUACCGUCGUAGUCUUAACCAUAAACUAUGCCGACUAGGGAUCGGAUGAUGUUAUUUUUAAUGACUCAUUCGGCGCCUUACG